Bos taurus (domestic cattle) is the source of this 72-nucleotide non-coding RNA. NCBI's taxonomy places the organism in Eukaryota, Metazoa, Chordata, Mammalia, Artiodactyla, Bovidae. The record is from Rfam.
UCCCUGAUAGCUCAGCUGGUUAAGAGUCUGCCUGCAAAGCAGGAGACGCAGGUUCAACUCCUGGGUUGGGAA